AAAUGAACAAGCUAUUUUUUCAAUUGAAUUUGACAAAGAUGGAAAUGUCGUUGAAAAAAAAGAUGUUGUAGAUGAAAUGGAAGACGACCAAAUAGAUGAAUGGAAUAUGCGACAUGUCAAACAAAAAAAAAAAAAAAAAAUUACUAUAAUAAUAAGACAAAAAAUGGAAAUAAUAAUGAUGGGUUAGUAGCUAUAGUGUCAGAAACUAUCCCAAAUACAGUCCCUCCCAAUAUACAACAAAAUUCAUCUAAAAUUGAUAACACUGUUUAUAUCCCAUUUUUAUGUCCACUUUCAUCGAAUAACAAAUUUUGUGCUGGGUACAAAAACAAACUAACUGUAGUUGAAUACGAGUCAAACACAAAAGUAAUAAUAAAAAAAAAAAAAACUUUUUUAUUAAGUCAUAAUAUAUAUUAUUUGAAAAGUUCUAUCAAUAAUGUUGUAAUAAUAUAUGACAAAAAUGAUUUAUUAAUUUAUCAGAUUUUUAGAAUAAACAAAAAGUUACGACUAAACUGUUUCUUUAAAAAAUCAGUACCAAAUGUUCAAAAAUGGAAUCUAACAAAUACGAACAAAAAUCGUUAUGACUCUUAUGAAAAUUCGAUACAAGUUGAUACAAAAAACAUAAAAAUAAACAAAAACAAUAACAUUGCAAUGUUUAUUUUUAAUUUGUUUAAUAAACACAUGGAUAAUAUGUUUAAUGAAAGACAAUCGGAAGGAAGAGAUCAUUCUAUCAAUUUGCUCGACACGUCUAUGUUGCAAACGGUUAGCACGGUUAGCACGGUUGGUGUUGGUAGUGGUGUUGGUAGUGGUGUUGGUAGUGGUGUUGGUAGUGGUGUUGGCACUGGCACUGGCACUGGCACUGAUAUAGUAGUAGGGCACGAAAAAGAUAAUACAGACAAAAAAGUAAAAACAAUACCAACUGAAACAGAAACGGAAAGAACGACAUUUUUUUGUAUUAAUCUAAUAUACAUUUACAUCUUAAACAACAAUAAAAUAGAUAUUAUUAUUAUUAACUCAACCAUAUAUUAUAUUUAUAUUUUAUUUUAUUACAAGAAAUAUAGUUACCUUUUUAUCCUAAUGUUGUAUAUGUAUAAUGUAAGGGGGUGGGGUGCGUACGUGUAUGCAUGCAUGCGUGUCUACGUGGGUGUUUACCGAUUUUUUUUUUGUCCAUUUUUUUAUGCCUCAUUUCUCAUGCUUAUCUAUUUUUAAAUUUUAACUUUUAAUUUUUAAUCCUUAGUUUUUAAUCCUUAGUUUUUAAUCCUUAGUUUUUAAUUCUUAGUUUUUAAUUUUUAAUUUUUAAUUUUUUUUUUCUUAUUUUAUUUUAUUUUAUUGUAUUUUAUUUUAUUUUAUUUUUUUUUUCGCAUGUAGGGUGACAUAAGUAUCAUGACAGACAUACCACUAGACGAAGAAGAACGAAAAAAUAAAAUAAAAACUCUUUUUUAUUUUUUGUUCAAAAUGAAUAUGAAAGAUAUAAUAGCACAAUAUGAUAUGUAUAGUACAAUGAAUGUAAAUGUAAAUACAACUCCAAACGAUAUGAAAAAUAGCACAGACGUAAAACAUGCCCAUUCGAGUGAUUAUGUAUUGGGUUUUAGUUUAACAAAUGUUAAAUUGGGAUUUUUAGGUGAACGUGGCAUUGAUGGAGAAAGUGGUAUUGAUAAAGAAAGUAGUAUUGAUGGAGAAAGCGAUGGUAUGGAAAAAACUAGUAGUAUGGAUGGAAAAAGCAGUAGUAUGGAUGGAAAAAGCAGUAGAGAUAAAAAUAGCAGUAGUGAUAAAAAUAGCAGUAGUGAUAAAAAUAGCAGUAGUGAUAAAAAUAGCAGUAGUGAUAAAAAUAGCAGUAGUGAUAAAAAUAGUAGUAGUGAUAAAAAUAGCAGUAGUGAUAAAAAUAGCUAUAUCGAAAAUAUAUAUGUUAACAGCAAGUUGAUAAAAAAAGAAUGUAUACUUGAACUUCUAAAAUUGUGCAGGGUAGGUAUUGAGCUUAGUAUAAAAUUAAACAUAAGUUUGUAUGAAUAUAUGUUUAAACUGUUUAAAAUGUAUAAAGUAGAAUUUAUUUAUUUUUACUUGUGUGAAUAUUAUAUUAUAAGAAAAAAAAUAUGUUUAACGAAUUAUACACUGAUUCAGAACUUAAUAAAACGUUUUAAAUUGUUUUAUUCCAAUUUUUCUUUGUAUGAUGAUGUUUAUUAUGACUUAUAUUUAUUUUUUAUUAAUUACAUUUUGCGUAGUAAAUAUGAGGUAAAUAAAACAGGUUUUGAAAUUUCUGACAACCAUGAUGGAUUUAGUAACGACAAUACGAAUGAAAGUUUUAUUCAGAAACAUAUUUUGAAAAUGAAAUUAAAAAGCGAGAAUAUAAAACAUAAAAUGGAGGACGUCGAAAAUAGGGAAAACAUAAGUAAUGACAACUUUAACAUGGAAAACCCAUUUGAUUCCUACUUUUGCUAUAACUACCUGAAUAUACAAACUAACUUAAAACACAUAAAAAAAAUCUACUGCUUUUUAUGCAUAAUUAAUAAUUAUUGUAAAAUUUUUGAGCAUAUAAAUAUAGAAAAAGAAAUUGAAAAUUUGAUUACUUUAUUACCUGUACAUAUAUGUGCUUUUUUGUACAAUAAAAAUAACGAAGACAAAAUAACAGUUAUUCAGUUUUUUUUAUCCUACAUGAUCAGAAAAAAAAAUAUAUUUUUUUUUAAUUUUUGUAAAAAUAAUAAAAUAAAUACAUCUGAUUUUCCUAUAUAUAUUCCUUUGUAUCUCUUCAAGAAUUUUUAUCAAACAUAUUAUUUGUUUGAUUGUAUUUAUAGUAUUUUAUUAAAGUUGUCAUUUAAUAUAAAUAUGCAUAGGUAUAAGAUAUCUGAAAAAAAUGUUAUACAAUUAAUCCAUUGUUAUUCUGAUAUAGUAUAUAAUAGUGAAGAAAAGGAUAAAAAUAAUCAUUUUUUUUCUAUUACCAACUUAAAUAAUUAUAAAAACAAUUUUUUUAUUUUCAACACUUUUUUUUUUGAAAGAAAUGAAAGAGACUGUGUUUUGAGUAAAAAUAUUGUAUGUAUAAUUAGCUACUUAUGUAAUAUGUUUGAUAAACGGUGUUUAAAUUGGAAUGGAGGGAUUGAUUUUAUGCGGGAUAGUUUGUACAUACCCUAUAUUGUUAAUAAUGUUUUUUUAAAAGAAAAAAAUAAAUCGAUUAAAGAAAGGCAAUUUUUAUUAUUUUUGAUGAAAAAAGUAAGUACGGAUACACUUGUACAUACAUCUACUACAUACAAUCCCAAUGUAAGUAACAUUUUUAACAUGGAUAAAAACGGUAUGUUUCUACUUCUCCAAAUAUCUUUAUUUCAAACUUAUUUUAUCAUAAAUAAUAUUCUUUUUAAUUAUGACGUAUUCAAAAGUAAUAAUGACAUAACAAAUAUGUUAAUGGAUAAUAUAUUUGAAUAUUAUGUCUAUAUAGUUAAUACUUUUAUACAAUAUAAAAAACAGUUAUAUAUUAUGUUAAAGCAUAUAAUAUGUGAUGAAAAAAAAUUAGAACAAAAGUUUAUAACUAUUAUGAAUAAAAUAGUUGCGUGCUCAUGUUAUGAACAUAUAAAACAAUUUUCUUUUGAAAUGGCUCAUAAUUUAAAAUACGAAGCAAUAUAUCUAUCGGAGCAACAACACAUGCAAAAUUCUUUAUUUAUAACUAUUCGUUGGAUUGUUAUACAAUUAUAUUUUAUUAAAAAAAAUAUAAUGACAUUAGUUAAUAGCAUUACUUAUAUGUUAAUUUUGUUUUUUAUCUUCGCGAGUCACAAAAAUAAGAAUUACUUAUUUUUUGAUUAUCUUUUAAAUAUAUUUUUUAUUAACUUUAUGUUGCGGGUAAAAAAAAUGGAGUUUCAUAGGGAGGGUAAGAGUGGGAGCCUAACACGGAGUGAUAAGCGGAAAGGUAGCACUUUCAUUAGUGGUAAAAGUGGUAGCAGUGGUAAAAGUGGUAGCAGUGGUAAAAGUGGUAGCAGUGGCAGAAGUGGUAGCACUUCAAUUAGUGGUAAAAGUGGCAGAAGUGUUUCACCCUGCUCUAGUGAUAGCACAACCACGAUGCAACAAAAAAAAAAUAGAAACAUGUUUUAUAACUUUUUAGGAUUAAAAAAAAAACACAUUUUUAUAAAAAAAAAAGUGGUAAAGUAUUACAGGGAAGGUAUUUAUUAUGACUGUUUUAAUAUUAUUAAUUAUAUACUGAUACGUGUGUAUGGUUUAGACAUUUGUGAUAUAUUUUUCGAAGAUAAAAUGGGUUGUAUGGAGUGGAUGAAUAUUGACCUGGUGAUUAAUAGUGGCAGUAGUAGCAGUAGUAGCAGUAGUGGCAGUAGUGGCAGUAGUAGCAGUAGUAGCAGUAGUAGCAGUAGUAGCAGUAGUAGCNNNNNNNNNNUAGUAGCAGUAGUAGCAGUAGUAGCAGUAGUAGCAGUAGUAGCAGUAAUAGCAGCAGUAAUAGCAGCAGCAAUAGCAGUAACAAUCGCGAAAAAGGCGUAACACAAGACGAACCCACACAGUUUGGAAAAAAUAAAUAUAAAGUAAAAUUGUUGAAGAGUAAAUGU
Molecule: long non-coding RNA, 4529 nt
Organism: Piliocolobus tephrosceles (Ugandan red Colobus)
Lineage: Eukaryota; Metazoa; Chordata; Mammalia; Primates; Cercopithecidae
Source: Ensembl